GCCAGACUCCUACGGGAGGCAGCAGUCGGGAAUAUUGCGCAAUGGAGGAAACUCUGACGCAGUGACGCCGCGUAUAGGAAGAAGGUUUUCGGAUUGUAAACUAUUGUCGUUAGGGAAGAUAAAAGACAGUACCUAAGGAGGGAGCUCCGGCUAACUACGUGCCAGCAGCCGCGGUAAUACGUAGGGAGCAAGCGUUAUCCGGAUUUACUGGGUGUAAAGGGAGCGUAGACGGCAAUACAAGUCGGAAGUGAAAUACCCGGGCUCAACCUGGGAACUGCUUUGGAAACUGUAUGGCUGGAGUGCUGGAGAGGUAAGCGGAAUUCCUAGUGUAGCGGUGAAAUGCGUAGAUAUUAGGAGGAACACCAGUGGCGAAGGCGGCUUACUGGACAGUAACUGACGUUGAGGCUCGAAAGCGUGGGGAGCAAACAGGAUUAGAUACCCGCGUAAC
Molecule: ribosomal RNA, 448 nt
Filed under: uncultured bacterium
Lineage: Bacteria
Description: bacterial SSU rRNA
Rfam family: Bacterial small subunit ribosomal RNA
Source: RNAcentral